UAAUACAGAGGGUGCAAGCGUUGUUCGGAAUCACUGGGCGUAAAGCGCGCGCAGGCGGAGCAUCAAGUCGGAAGUGAAAUCUCGCCGCUCAACGACGAGGCUGCUUUCGAUACUGGCGUUCUAGGGACCGGUAGAGGCUGGUAGAAUUGCAGGUGUAGCGGUGGAAUGCGUAGAGAUCUGCAAGAAUACCCGUGGCGAAGGCGGCCAGCUGGGCCGGGUCCGACGCUGAGGCGCGAAAGCGUGGGGAGCAAACAGGAUUAGAUACCCUGGUAGUCCACGCCGUAAACGAUGGGCACUAGGUGCCGGGGGGAGCGACCCCUUCGGUGCCGCAGCUAACGCGAUAAGUGCCCCGCCUGGGGAGUACGGCCGCAAGGCUG
Molecule: ribosomal RNA, 377 nt
Filed under: uncultured bacterium
Lineage: Bacteria
Description: bacterial SSU rRNA
Rfam family: Bacterial small subunit ribosomal RNA
Source: RNAcentral